GACGAACGCUGGCGGCGUGCUUAACACAUGCAAGUCGAACGGAAAGGCCCUGCUUUUGUGGGGUGCUCGAGUGGCGAACGGGUGAGUAACACGUGAGUAACCUGCCCUUGACUUUGGGAUAACUUCAGGAAACUGGGGCUAAUACCGGAUAGGAGCUCCUGCUGCAUGGUGGGGGUUGGAAAGUUUCGGCGGUUGGGGAUGGACUCGCGGCUUAUCAGCUUGUUGGUGGGGUAGUGGCUUACCAAGGCUUUGACGGGUAGCCGGCCUGAGAGGGUGACCGGCCACAUUGGGACUGAGAUACGGCCCAGACUCCUACGGGAGGCAGCAGUGGGGAAUAUCGCACAAUGGGCGGAAGCCUGAUGCAGCAACGCCGCGUGCGGGAUGACGGCCUUCGGGUUGUAAACCGCUUUCGCCUGUGACGAAGCGUGAGUGAUGGUAAUGGGUAAAGAAGCACCGGCUAACUACGUG
RNAcentral lists this ribosomal RNA (468 nucleotides) under uncultured bacterium. Its description in RNAcentral is "partial 16S ribosomal RNA". It matches the Rfam family "Bacterial small subunit ribosomal RNA", at positions 28 to 507 of the family's 1533-position model. The record is from RNAcentral.